Ochotona princeps (American pika) is the source of this 1551-nucleotide long non-coding RNA. RefSeq lists it as uncharacterized. The transcript has 3 exons. The record is from RefSeq and is a predicted model, not a curated record. NCBI's taxonomy places the organism in Eukaryota, Metazoa, Chordata, Mammalia, Lagomorpha, Ochotonidae.
AUAAACUCCUAAAAAUGAAAAAAAAAAAAACUGAGGAGAAAAAAAAAAGAUGAAUCAGAGCACAGAGGAGGAUGCGUAGCAAACCUGACCAUGCAUUGACCUGUUUAGAAGAUUCUUACAGAAGGAGAUGUCCUCCUCUGCUGCUAUUCAACUGUGUCUGGCCAGGAUUCCAAAUUCCCCGAAGACAGCUGCUCUAGCCAGGCACCUAGGCCAGGAUUCUCUCUGAGAAGCUAACAGGCAGUCCUGCCACUUGUGAUCAGAUUCACUGCCUAAGGUACUUCUUCCAGCAAUGAAAAGUUAUCUGGUAGAGAUAACUUCAUUUUGCAUUUAAGAGCUUUGUUAUAGCUACCGUAGCCUAACUUUUCUUUGUUCAGGGGGUCAGAACCAGUCACCAGGGUAGGUGCUGGGUUAGGCUUCUGUGGCUGCCAUACAGAUGACCAUAGUCUUGAUGACUUAAAACAAUAGCAAUUGAUUCUCACAGUCCUAGGAACUGGAAGGCCAGGAGGUGGCAGGUUUGCAUGCCCUUUGGAGGCUCUGGGGCAAACCCUUUCUCAUUACCGUAGCUCCCUCCUGGCAGCUGCCAGCUCUUCUGUGACUGUGUCACUCCAGCCUCUGCUACCAUCAGCACGAGGUGUGUGCUCUUUGUGUGUCUCUCCAAAAGUCACCGGUCAUUGGAGUUAGGGCCAUCGUGAGUUCAAAUCAAGAUCCCGAACUUCAUAACAUCGACAAAGACUGCUUUUCCAAAUGAGGUCACAUGGACAGGCUUUAGGGGUUAAGAUAUGGUUGUAUCUCCUGUGGGGAGGGUGUGGAAGCACCAGCCAGCCCCAGGAUAACCGCAGGAAGCAUAGAGUAUGUUGUUUCUGAAUGUGCUGGCUUGCUCAGGCCACAAGGUGGGUUUCUGUGGUGGGGCCAACCCCCUGUGGCUGCUGAACAUCCUCUGAGAUGAACGCCGGAAUUGUGCACCUGCCAGUGCUGGCAACAGCCACACUGCUGCCUCAUGCUACUUGCCUCCAUUCAAUGGGUUCAUCUCUGUUAACCUCCCUAUAUCUGAAAUCAACCCACAAAGCAAACAGGCCACAAACCACAGGAGACCUAGGUGCAUUAGAAAUCCCCAACCUCCUGAUGGAGGAAAUAGGGGUUGAUGUGAAAAGGUGAAGGACCUGGAAGGAAACGGAGGCAGGAGGUCCAAUACUGAGGCUUGCCUCAGGAACCACGGUGUGGGCAUCUUGGAACAUACUUCCAUGGCACUGUGGCCGAGGGUGAUGCUACAGAGUAGCACCCAGUGAAGCCCAGUCCCAGCCAGUUUGAACUUGGCCCUUCAGUGUCAUUGGGUCUGUAAGCUCCUACCUGGUCAGACUAUGAAAGGUAUGGAUUUCAGGGGUUCCCAGAGGCAGAUGGAAGGAGUGUUUGAGGGUGAAGGUAAUUCAGGGGCUCACAUGCUGCCUCUGUGUGAAUGGAUUUGAGUGUCCUGAUAGCUGGGAUGCCUGUUGCAUUGCUCACUGGCUAAAUCGAGGUACUAGUAGCCUCACUUUGUGGAUGAAGGGGUGAGGA